This 77-nucleotide transfer RNA is filed under the name Patescibacteria group bacterium. RNAcentral's name for it is "tRNA-Lys". It matches the Rfam family "tRNA". From Rfam's summary of the family: Transfer RNA (tRNA) molecules are approximately 80 nucleotides in length. Their secondary structure includes four short double-helical elements and three loops (D, anti-codon, and T loops). Further hydrogen bonds mediate the characteristic L-shaped molecular structure. tRNAs have two regions of fundamental functional importance: the anti-codon, which is responsible for specific mRNA codon recognition, and the 3' end, to which the tRNAs corresponding amino acid is attached (by aminoacyl-tRNA synthetases). tRNAs cope with the degeneracy of the genetic code in two manners: having more than one tRNA (with a specific anti-codon) for a particular amino acid; and 'wobble' base-pairing, i.e. permitting non-standard base-pairing at the 3rd anti-codon position. The record is from RNAcentral.
GCGCCGUUAGCUCAGUCCGGUAGAGCAGGUGGCUCUUAACCACUUGGUCGGGGGUUCAAAUCCCUCACGGCGCACCA